Molecule: RNase P RNA, 364 nt
Filed under: Alphaproteobacteria bacterium 41-28
Lineage: Bacteria; Pseudomonadati; Pseudomonadota; Alphaproteobacteria
Description: RNase P RNA component class A
Rfam family: Bacterial RNase P class A
About the family: Ribonuclease P (RNase P) is a ubiquitous endoribonuclease, found in archaea, bacteria and eukarya as well as chloroplasts and mitochondria. Its best characterised activity is the generation of mature 5'-ends of tRNAs by cleaving the 5'-leader elements of precursor-tRNAs.
Source: RNAcentral
GCAGAUGGUCGGAGAGGUGCUGGGGCAACCCAGAGGAAAGUCCGGGCUCUAUAAAGACACGGUGCCGGAUAACGUCCGGCGAGGGUGACCUUAGGGAAAGUGCAACAGAAAGCAAACCGCCUGGAAACAGGUAAGGGUGAAAGGGUGCGGUAAGAGCGCACCGCGCCUUUGGUAACAAAGGUGGCAUGGUAAACCCCACCGAGAGCAAGACCAAAUAGGGAUGACACAUGGCCUGUCUUUGGGUCGUCAUCCGGGUCGGUCGCACGAGGCGUCAGGUAACUGACGUCCCAGAUGAAUACUUCUCCCCUCUCCUUGCAAAAACAAGGAUCUGGGACAAAACCCGGCUUACAGACCGUCUGCGCUU